This 360-nucleotide unclassified non-coding RNA is filed under the name soil metagenome. RNAcentral's name for it is "partial contains 5.8S ribosomal RNA, internal transcribed spacer 2, and large subunit ribosomal RNA". The stretch from base 1 to 120 matches the Rfam family "5.8S ribosomal RNA", at positions 35 to 154 of the family's 154-position model. The record is from RNAcentral.
GAUGAAGAACGUAGCGAAAUGCGAUAAGUAGUGUGAAUUGCAGAAUUCAGUGAAUCAUCGAAUCUUUGAACGCACAUUGCGCCCGCCAGUAUUCUGGCGGGCAUGCCUGUCUGAGCGUCGUUUCGACCCUCGCGCCCGGCUUCUGUCGGGGGCGGUGUUGGGGAUCGGCCACACCCUUCAGUGGGAGGCCGGCCCCUAAAUUCAGUGGCGACCACGCUGUAGCCUCCCCUGCGUAGUACUAAAACCACCUCGCAGGCGGAGAGCGGUGCGGCCCGCCGUAAAACCCCCCAACUUUUACAAGGUCGACCUCAGAUCAGGUAGGAAUACCCGCUGAACUUAAGCAUAUCAAUAAGCGGAGGA